This 635-nucleotide small RNA is filed under the name Hypocreales sp. 758 FbG. RNAcentral describes it as "eukaryotic LSU rRNA". The stretch from base 133 to 286 matches the Rfam family "5.8S ribosomal RNA". The record is from RNAcentral. Lineage: Eukaryota; Fungi; Ascomycota; Sordariomycetes; Hypocreales.
AAAGGGUUUCGACUCCAACCCACUGUGAACAUACCCUACGUUGCUUCGGCGGGCCCCCGCGCCCGCCGAGGGACACGCAAACUCUUUUUUGAACCUGGAACUCUGAUUAUACAUUAAAAAAAAAUGAAUCAAAACUUUCAACAACGGAUCUCUUGGUUCUGGCAUCGAUGAAGAACGCAGCGAAAUGCGAUACGUAAUGUGAAUUGCAGAAUUCAGUGAAUCAUCGAAUCUUUGAACGCACAUUGCGCCCGCCAGCAUUCUGGCGGGCAUGCCUGUUCGAGCGUCAUUACAACCCUCGAGCCCCCCCCCUUCCGGGGGGAGGGGCCCGGUGUUGGGGGACGGCCCGCCCUCGCGGCAGGCCGCCCCCGAAAUGGAUCGGCGGCAACGGCGUCCGCCUCCCCUGCGUAGUAGCACAGCAUCUCGCAACGGGAGCGCGCCGCGCGCCAUUGCCGUAAAACGCACAACCCUUCAAGAGUUGACCUCGGAUCAGGGAGGAAUACCCGCUGAACUUAAGCAUAUCACUAAGCGGAGGAAGAUCGGCGGCAACGGCGUCCGCCUCCCCUGCGUAGUAGCACAGCAUCUCGCAACGGGAGCGCGCCGCGGCCACUGCCGUAAAACGCACAACCCUUCAAGAG